UACAGAGGUCUCGAGCGUUGUUCGGAUUCAUUGGGCGUAAAGGGUGCGUAGGCGGCGUGGUAAGUCUGGUGUGAAAUCCUGGAGCUUAACUCCAGAAAUGCACUGGAUACUGCCAUGCUAGAGGACUGGAGAGGAGAGUGGAAUUCACGGUGUAGCAGUGAAAUGCGUAGAUAUCGUGAGGAAGACCAGUGGCGAAAGCGAAUCUCUGGACAGUUCCUGACGCUGAUGCACGAAGGCUAGGGGAGCAAGCGGG
This 253-nucleotide ribosomal RNA is filed under the name uncultured bacterium. RNAcentral's name for it is "partial 16S ribosomal RNA". It matches the Rfam family "Bacterial small subunit ribosomal RNA", at positions 524 to 776 of the family's 1533-position model. The record is from RNAcentral.